This 253-nucleotide ribosomal RNA is filed under the name uncultured bacterium. RNAcentral's name for it is "partial 16S ribosomal RNA". It matches the Rfam family "Bacterial small subunit ribosomal RNA", at positions 524 to 776 of the family's 1533-position model. The record is from RNAcentral.
UACGUAGGGUGCGAGCGUUAAUCGGAAUUACUGGGCGUAAAGCGUGCGCAGGCGGUUUUGUAAGCCAGAUGUGAAAUCCCCGGGCUCAACCUGGGAAUGGCAUUUGGGACUGCAAGGCUCGAGUGCGGCAGAGGAGACUGGAAUUCCUGGUGUAGCAGUGAAAUGCGUAGAUAUCAGGAGGAAUACCGAUGGCGAAGGCAGGUCUCUGGGCUGACACUGACGCUCAUGCACGAAAGCGUGGGGAGCAAACGGG